UNAUGUUGCCAGCAAUGUUAUGGUGGGGANAUCGUGAGAGACUGCCGGGGUCAACUCGGAGGAAGGUGGGGAUGACGUCAAGUCAUCAUGCCCCUUAUGUCCAGGGCUUCACACAUGCUACAAUGGCCAGGUACAAAGGGCUGCGAUGACCGUGAGGUGGAGCGAAUCCAUUUCAAAGCCGGUCUCAGUGGGGGUCUGCAACUCGAGACCACCGUGAAGUCGGAGUCGGCUAGUAAAUCGCAUNAUCAAGCAACGCAUGCAGGUNAAU
RNAcentral lists this ribosomal RNA (268 nucleotides) under uncultured bacterium. RNAcentral's name for it is "partial 16S ribosomal RNA". The stretch from base 1 to 228 matches the Rfam family "Bacterial small subunit ribosomal RNA", at positions 1110 to 1334 of the family's 1533-position model. The record is from RNAcentral.